This 236-nucleotide ribosomal RNA is filed under the name uncultured bacterium. RNAcentral's name for it is "partial 16S ribosomal RNA". It matches the Rfam family "Bacterial small subunit ribosomal RNA", at positions 100 to 334 of the family's 1533-position model. The record is from RNAcentral.
CGGGACGGGUGAGUAACGCGUGGAUAACCUGCCUCACACUGGGGGAUAACAGUUAGAAAUGACUGCUAAUACCGCAUAAGCGCACAGUACCGCAUGGUACAGUGUGAAAAACUCCGGUGGUGUGAGAUGGAUCCGCGUCUGAUUAGCCAGUUGGCGGGGUAACGGCCCACCAAAGCGACGAUCAGUAGCCGACCUGAGAGGGUGACCGGCCACAUUGGGACUGGGACACGGCCCAA